AACGUGUUAUCUUAAUGGUCAAAGUAUUGUGCUACGGACACAAUGUAUGCAAGUUCAACUCUUGUGCACGUUU
Molecule: transfer RNA, 73 nt
Filed under: Friedmanniomyces endolithicus
Lineage: Eukaryota; Fungi; Ascomycota; Dothideomycetes; Mycosphaerellales; Teratosphaeriaceae
Description: tRNA-Arg
Rfam family: tRNA
About the family: Transfer RNA (tRNA) molecules are approximately 80 nucleotides in length.
Source: RNAcentral